This 765-nucleotide ribosomal RNA is filed under the name Triticum aestivum (bread wheat). Its description in RNAcentral is "partial small subunit ribosomal RNA". Lineage: Eukaryota; Viridiplantae; Streptophyta; Magnoliopsida; Poales; Poaceae. The record is from RNAcentral.
AUGGCCAGUCGUUGCCUCGCCGGUGAACCGCGGUGGUGCGACGAGAGGGAUCAAGCUCUCUUUGCCUCGGCCACCUUGGUCACCGUCCGAAGCGGCGCAACGGCCUCUUUCUGGCGAUGCCACUGGCUGGGAGAGCCGCCUCUCUAUCUCGCAUAUCCGGACCUAUUUAAACACUCCUCCCGGAAGAACAGGACGGUCAUGGAUGCUCUUCAAGGGGAGAAGUGGAUUCAAGACCUGCGGCACGGCAACCUCACCGACAUCCUUCCUCAGUUUGUGCACUUGCAGCGCGCGAUCCGGUUGGCUGGGAUUAUAUUGGAAGAUGGUGCACUGGACGAGAUCAAGUGGACAGCAGGUGGAGGAGCAGAGUACUCAGCGAGCUCGGCCUACGACCUACAGUUUGCUAAUCGCCCUGCGACGAACCUCCAGGCGAUCGUUUGGAAAGCCUGGGCCCCAGGGAAGAUGAAAUUCUUCAGUUGGCUGCUGCACCAUGAUCGCCUUUGGUGCAAUGAUAGAAACCUUGAGUCCUCCGUCCACCUCUUCUGGGAAUGGUCGUUUUCGAGAGCAGUAUGGAGUCAGGUGGCAAUAUGGAGUGGCUGCGCUGCGCUGAACCCAAGCAGCCAGACGCGCGGCCGUGCGACCAUGCAAAUCGUCCAAGACUUGCUCGCCGGGAUAACGCCAAGGACAGCGAAAGGGCUGAGAGAUGACUGCAGCAGCAUCAGACUGUUGAUGGCCUCACUGCUCUCCUGGCUCGCCUGUGACCAGUGA